Molecule: long non-coding RNA, 665 nt
Filed under: Malus domestica (apple)
Lineage: Eukaryota; Viridiplantae; Streptophyta; Magnoliopsida; Rosales; Rosaceae
Description: long non-coding RNA (MDOM_LNC000937)
Source: RNAcentral
UGGGACGCAUAAAUGCAUGAGUUAAAUCUCUUAAAUUAUGUUAAAGAUUUUGAUCAAAAUAAAGUUUAAGUCUAACAAUUAGGUUGAUUAGGUACCAACAACAACAACAACAGAAUGCCUUUUACCCGUUAAUCCACUAGUUGGGAAGAGGAUCCGGUACAGAUCUCUCACAUCAAAGGCCCAAGAUCAAGUGAUACAGGUCAUUGAAAUUUAAUCUAAUGGUUAUAAACAGGGGACCCCUCUAAAAGUUAUAAUAAUUGUAGUCGUUUGAUCAAAUUUCAAAGACUUGGAUCACUUGAUCCUGGACCUUUGAUAGGAGAGAUCCGGACCGGAUCCUCUUCUCACUAGUUGAGCAAUUUUGGCUUUUGGUUGGAAUUAUUGAGGCCCCGUUUGGGAUUGAGGUGAUUUUAAAAAAAGCCACUGUGAAAAAAAGCUGAGGGUCAUUUUUGUGUUUGGUACAACAACAACAACAACAAAGCCUUUUCCCACUAAGUGGGGUCGGCUAUAUGAAUCCUAGAACGCCAUUGCGCUCGGUUUUGUGUCAUGUCCUCCGUUAGAUCCAAGUACUCUAAGUCUUUUCUUAGAGUCUCUUCCAAAGUUGUCCUAGGUCUUCCUCUACCCCUUCGGCCCUGAACCUCUGUCCCGUAGUCACAUCUUCGAACCGG